This is a non-coding RNA of Peromyscus maniculatus bairdii (prairie deer mouse), 286 nucleotides long. The record is from RefSeq and is a predicted model, not a curated record. NCBI's taxonomy places the organism in Eukaryota, Metazoa, Chordata, Mammalia, Rodentia, Cricetidae.
GGGUUUGUCAUGGUGCCUCAGAUCCUGCAUCUGUAACACACACUCAGGGUCAUGCCAUUGCUGCUCAGACUUGGACACCUCAUUGAGGAGCGAAGAAGAAAGAAGUUGGAUCUACACUCUCCCAACUCUGUGACCCUAAGGACCUUUCAGACUUACUUUCUCCAACAGGAUUUCCACUCUCUCACUUGCAAAGUGAAGCACUGGACUACCCCAGCACUCUACUCAUGGAAUAUGAUCAUUGAAUAAACAAAAUGAUAAGUUAAAUGAAGAAAACUUCUGCUCUGAA